UACGGGGGGGGCAAGCGUUGUUCGGAAUUACUGGGCGUAAAGGGCUCGUAGGCGGCCAACUAAGUCAGAUGUGAAAUCCCCAGGCUUAACCUGGGAACUGCAUCUGAUACUGGAUGGCUUGAAUCCGGGAGAGGGAUGCAGAAUUCCAGGUGUAGCGGUGAAAUGCGUAGAUAUCUGGAGGAAUACCGGUGGCGAAGGCGGCAUCCUGGACCGGCAUUGACGCUGGGGAGCGAAAGCUAGGGGAGCAAACGGG
RNAcentral lists this ribosomal RNA (253 nucleotides) under uncultured bacterium. Its description in RNAcentral is "partial 16S ribosomal RNA". It matches the Rfam family "Bacterial small subunit ribosomal RNA", at positions 524 to 776 of the family's 1533-position model. The record is from RNAcentral.